AUUGAACGCUGGCGGCAGGCCUAACACAUGCGAGUCGAACGGUAACAGGAAACAGCUUGCUGUUUCGCUGACGAGUGGCGGACGGGUGAGUAAUGUCUGGGAAACUGCCUGAUGGAGGGGGAUAACUACUGGAAACGGUAGCUAAUACCGCAUAACGUCGCAAGGCCAAAGAGGGGGACCUUCGGGCCUCUUGCCAUCGGAUGUGCCCAGAUGGGAUUAGCUAGUAGGUGGGGUAACGGCUCACCUAGGCGACGAUCCCUAGCUGGUCUGAGAGGAUGACCAGGCACACUGGAACUGAGACACGGUCCAGGCUCCUACGGGGAGCAGCAGUGGGGAAUAUUGCACAAUGGGCGCAAGCCUGAGGCAGCCAUGCCGCGUGUAUGAAGAAGGCCUUCGGGUUGUAAAGUACUUUCAGCGGGGAGGAAGGGAGUAAAGUUGAUACCUUUGCUCAUUGACGUUACCCGCAGAAGAAGCACCGGCUAACUCCUUGCCAGCCGCCGCGGUAA
This 506-nucleotide ribosomal RNA is filed under the name uncultured bacterium. Its description in RNAcentral is "partial 16S ribosomal RNA". It matches the Rfam family "Bacterial small subunit ribosomal RNA", at positions 30 to 523 of the family's 1533-position model. The record is from RNAcentral.